This 254-nucleotide ribosomal RNA is filed under the name uncultured bacterium. Its description in RNAcentral is "partial 16S ribosomal RNA". It matches the Rfam family "Bacterial small subunit ribosomal RNA", at positions 524 to 776 of the family's 1533-position model. The record is from RNAcentral.
UACGUAGGGUGCGAGCGUUGUCCGGAAUUAUUGGGCGUAAAGAGCUCGUAGGCGGUGUGUCACGUCGGCCGUGAAAACCUGCAGCUUAACUGUGGGCGUGCGGUCGAUACGGGCAUCACUGGAGUUCGGCAGGGGAGACUGGAAUUCCUGGUGUAGCGGUGAAAUGCGCAGAUAUCUGGAGGAACACCGGUGGCGAAGGCGGCAUCCUGGACCAAUUCUGACGCUGAGGAGCGAAAGCCAGGGGAGCAAACGGG